Molecule: ribosomal RNA, 864 nt
Filed under: uncultured archaeon
Lineage: Archaea
Description: bacterial SSU rRNA
Rfam family: Archaeal small subunit ribosomal RNA
Source: RNAcentral
UGAUACUAAGCCAUGCGAGUCAUUGUAGCAAUACAAGGCAUACGGCUCAGUAACGCGUAGUCAACCUAACCUAUGGACGGGAAUAACCUCGGGAAACUGAGAAUAAUGCCCGAUAGAACAUUAUGCCUGGAAUGGUUUAUGUUCCAAAUGAUUUAUCGCCGUAGGAUGGGACUGCGGCCUAUCAGUUUGUUGGUGAGGUAAUGGCCCACCAAGACUAUUACAGGUACGGGCUCUGAGAGGAGUAGCCCGGAGAUGGGUACUGAGACACGGACCCAGGCCCUAUGGGGCGCAGCAGGCGAGAAAACUUUGCAAUGUGCGAAAGCACGACAAGGUUAAUCCGAGUGGUUUCUGCUAAAGGAACCUUUUGUCAGUCCUAGAAACACUGAUGAAUAAGGGGUGGGCAAGUUCUGGUGUCAGCCGCCGCGGUAAAACCAGCACCUCAAGUGGUCAGGAUGAUUAUUGGGCCUAAAGCAUCCGUAGCCGGCUCUGUAAGUUUUCGGUUAAAUCUGUACGCUCAACGUACAGGCUGCCGGGAAUACUGCAAAGCUAGGGAGUGGGAGAGGUAGACGGUACUCGGUAGGAAGGGGUAAAAUCCUUUGAUCUAUUGAUGACCACCUGCGGCGAAGGCGGUCUACCAGAACACGUCCGACGGUGAGGGAUGAAAGCUGGGGGAGCAAACCGGAUUAGGUACCCGGGUAGUCCCAGCUGUAAACCAUGCAAACUCAGUGAUGCAUUGGCUUGUGGCCAAUGCAGUGCUGCAGGGAAGCCGUUAAGUUUGCCGCCUGGGAAGUACGUACGCAAGUAUGAAACUUAAAGGAAUUGGCGGGGGAGCACCACAAGGGGUGAAGCCUGCGGUUCAAUUGG